This 165-nucleotide small nuclear RNA is filed under the name Eptatretus burgeri (inshore hagfish). RNAcentral describes it as "U1 spliceosomal RNA (ENSEBUG00000000252.1)". It matches the Rfam family "U1 spliceosomal RNA". Rfam says of the family: U1 is a small nuclear RNA (snRNA) component of the spliceosome (involved in pre-mRNA splicing). Its 5' end forms complementary base pairs with the 5' splice junction, thus defining the 5' donor site of an intron. There are significant differences in sequence and secondary structure between metazoan and yeast U1 snRNAs, the latter being much longer (568 nucleotides as compared to 164 nucleotides in human). Lineage: Eukaryota; Metazoa; Chordata; Myxini; Myxiniformes; Myxinidae. The record is from Rfam by way of RNAcentral.
AUACUUACCUCAUAGGAGAGAUACCGCGAUCAGUUAGUUAAGGCGGUAUUCUCAGGGUGAGGCCUACCCAUUACACUACAGGGGGGAGGGUUGACCCUUGCCAUUUCCCCAAAUGUGGGAAAGUCGCCUGUGAAAUUUGUAGGAUGCAGGAUGCGAUAGACCGGC